This is a long non-coding RNA of Amphiprion ocellaris (clown anemonefish), 520 nucleotides long. The record is from Ensembl. NCBI's taxonomy places the organism in Eukaryota, Metazoa, Chordata, Actinopteri, Pomacentridae.
AAAACAGGACCAGUGUUCAUGUCUGCAAAGUACUGCACCACAGAGUUCACUGUCUCAGCCUUGCAGUGGAACAGUCACAGCGGAGAAGCCCGGCAGCGGAGCCGAGCUUUGGCCAAACUCAUCAUGCACAUGAGAGAAACACACGACACUGAUGACUUCAUUGAGCUGAAAUAGGGCUUCCAUCCAUCAGUAGCCUGGAAAGGUAAAAUACUAUAUCGUCGGAGGAGAUCAAAGUGAAGGAUGAUGAAGGACAGGAGUUUGCCUCGCGCAUUUACAACAAGAAAUGACGGAUGAUGCUGUCAAAUGAUUUCUUCUAUCUGAUGCUGAAUCCUGUCUUUAAACUGCAAAAAUACCACUGUUAUUAUGCGUAAUGACACCUCAGUCUAAUAAAACAAAAGCGGCUGCAUGCUUCAUACCCACAACUGGCACAUGAGAAGGCAAUACCACACCCCCCGCUGAGUACACAUGGGUGUCUGCCAACAAUAACACAUGGCGGUGCCAAAAUAAAAAAAGCACUUUA